This 252-nucleotide ribosomal RNA is filed under the name uncultured bacterium. RNAcentral's name for it is "partial 16S ribosomal RNA". It matches the Rfam family "Bacterial small subunit ribosomal RNA", at positions 1249 to 1500 of the family's 1533-position model. The record is from RNAcentral.
GCGAGACGGUGACGUUAAGCAAAUCCCAGAAAUAACGUCCCAGUUCGGAUUGUAGUCUGCAACCCGACUACAUGAAGCUGGAAUCGCUAGUAAUCGCGAAUCAGAAUGUCGCGGUGAAUACGUUCCCGGGUCUUGUACACACCGCCCGUCACACCAUGGGAGUCGGAAAUGCCCGAAGUCAGUGACCCAACCGUAAGGAGGGAGCUGCCGAAGGUGGAGCCGGUAACUGGGGUGAAGUCGUAACAAGGUACC